UGAGUAACACGUGGGUGAUCUGCCUCGAGGUGGGGAAUAACUACUCGAAAGGGUAGCUAAUACCGCAUGUGGUCUGCGAAGAAGAAAGGUCGGAAGACCGCCUUGAGAUGAGCCCGCGGCCGAUUAGCUAGUUGGUGAGGUAACGGCCCACCAAGGCGACGAUCGGUAGCUGGUCUGAGAGGAUGAUCAGCCACACUGGGAUUGAGAACGGCCCAGACUCCUACGGGAGGCAGCAGUAAGGGAUAUUGCACAAUGGGGGAAACCCUGAUGCAGCAACGCCGCGUGGGUGAAGAAGGCUUUCGAGUCGUAAAACCCUUUUCUAGGGGAAGAGGAAGGACAGUACCCUAGGAAGAAGUCUCGGCUAACUACGUGCCAGCAGCCGCGGUAAGACGUAGGAGGCGAGCGUUAUCCGGAUUUAUUGGGCGUAAAGGGCAAGUAGGCGGUUCUCAAAGUUGGGCGUGACAGACCCCGGCUUAACUGGGGGAGGUCGUUCAAAACUAGGGGACUAGAGGGCAGAAGAGGAAAGCGGAACUCCUGAUGUAGCGGUGGAAUGCUCAGAUAUCAGGAAGAACACCAGUGGCGAAGGCGGCUUUCUGGUCUGCACCUGACGCUGAUAGGCGAAGGCCAGGGUAGCGAACGGGCUUAGAUACCCCGGUAGUCCUGGCAGUAAACGGUGGAUACUAGGUAUCAGGGGUCAAGGCCUUUGGUGCCGAAGUCAACGCGUUAAGUAUCCCGCCUGGGGACUACGGCCGCAAGGUUAAAACUCAAAUGAAUUGACGG
RNAcentral lists this ribosomal RNA (780 nucleotides) under uncultured bacterium. RNAcentral describes it as "bacterial SSU rRNA". It matches the Rfam family "Bacterial small subunit ribosomal RNA", at positions 107 to 916 of the family's 1533-position model. The record is from RNAcentral.